Molecule: ribosomal RNA, 497 nt
Filed under: uncultured bacterium
Lineage: Bacteria
Description: bacterial SSU rRNA
Rfam family: Bacterial small subunit ribosomal RNA
Source: RNAcentral
AGAGUUUGAUUAUGGCUCAGGACGAACGCUGGCGGCGUGCCUAACACAUGCAAGUCGAACGGAGUUAAUGAUUCGGUUGUAACUAGUGGCGAACGGGUGAGUAACGCGUGAACAACCUGACCCAAAGAGGGGGAUAACAUUUGGAAACAGAUGCUAAUACCGCACAAGACCACAACGUCACAUGGCGAAGGGGUCAAAGGAGCAAUCCGCUUUGGGAGGGGUUCGCGUCCCAUUAGGUAGUAGGCGGGGUAACAGCCCACCUAGCCAACGAUGGGUAGCCGAGCUGAGAGGCUGAUCGGCCACACUGGAACUGAGACACGGUCCAGACUCCUACGGGAGGCAGCAGUGGGGAAUAUUGGGCAAUGGGCGCAAGCCUGAACCCCAGCAACGCCGCGUGAGGGAAGAAGGUUUUCGGAUUGUAAACCUCUGUCGCAGAAGACGAAGGAAGUGACGGUAUUCUGUGAGGAAGCCCCGGCUAACUACGUGCCAGCAGCCGC